This is a long non-coding RNA of Diorhabda sublineata, 947 nucleotides long. RefSeq lists it as uncharacterized. The record is from RefSeq and is a predicted model, not a curated record. Lineage: Eukaryota; Metazoa; Arthropoda; Insecta; Coleoptera; Chrysomelidae. The transcript has 4 exons.
AACUACAGGAGAAUUGUUGAUUUUAAAAAAGAAGAAGAGAGACUUAACCAAGAAAUUAAAAAAAACGCUUUACGAAUAGAAAUAUAACUAAAUUAUAGUGUAUUUAUUUCUUGUGAAUGAAAAUAUUGAGUGAUUUUAUUUUUUGUGAACGAUUAUUAGUGAAAUCUCGACAUAUACUUUGAUGAACAAACGUAUAAUAAGUGAUUGGUUGUUUUUUAUUGCUACGAAUGGACGAUGGAAAAAAAUAAAAGUUGUUUAUGUUUAAAAGCCACCAACUGCAAACUUAUGCAUUUCAAUGUUUUGAAAGUCAAGUUCAUGAAUCGGCUUUAACGUUAAAUAGAUUUUGGAAAAAUUAGACAUUGGACCAGUUCGAGAAAAAUGUUACUUUCAAUUCCCGAUUUUGUCACGAUGGGGGACACAACUCUACCUUUAGGACACUAAAAGUCUCUCCGCAGUUCUGAUUAUAAGUCAUUUUUGUAAACAGUGUUUUGUACGUUGCUAGAUUAUUAAGAUGUUACGAAGACCGCCGACAAGUAUUGAAUUAAAGUUAGAUGAUAUCACAGAAUACGAGGAAAUGAAACAAAGUAAAGAAAAACAGCAACAAUCAUUUAACGACCUACCUACAUGGAAGCCAGGUCCAAAAAGUAAUAAAGAAAUAUAUUCUCGUGUGGGUUAUGUACCAUCGGAUCAAGUUAGGAAUACGUGCUUCGACGAAUUACAAUCCUCAUCCAAAUAAUUGAAUUUUUGUAGUUAAUUGAGUAUUGUUCCAAAUAUAUUUUGAUACGUGUUUUUCUGUUUUAAACUGGAGGUAUUUAAUCAUACAGAUUUAUAUGUUAUUAAAUAUUUGUUGUAUAAUUUCUAAAUUUUCUUGUGUAAUAUAUCAUAUAUUUACAUCACUUGAUUAAAAUAUUGAUGUAUGUACAUUUCCAACAAAGUUAUCGUCUUUA